This is a long non-coding RNA of Sapajus apella (tufted capuchin), 100 nucleotides long. RefSeq lists it as uncharacterized. The record is from RefSeq and is a predicted model, not a curated record. The transcript has 3 exons. NCBI's taxonomy places the organism in Eukaryota, Metazoa, Chordata, Mammalia, Primates, Cebidae.
AAGCAUCAGCUAUGUCUAUUGUUAGUGUAUUUUAUGUGUGACCCAAGACAAUGCUGCUUCUUCCAAUCUGGCCCUGGGAAGCCAAAAGGUUGGAUACCCC